GAAUGCAUUAGGGGGUAACGGGUGAGGAACACGUGAGAAACCUGCCUUUCAUUCUGGGAUAACACCGGGAAACCGGUGCUAAUACCGGAUACUCCGUCUUGGCGGCAUCGCCGAGCCGGGAAAAAAUUUUGAUGAAAGAUGGUCUCGCGGCCUAUCAGCUAGUUGGUGAGGUAAAGGCUCACCAAGGCGACGACGGGUAGCCGGCCUGAGAGGGCGACCGGCCACACUGGGACUGAGACACGGCCCAGACUCCUACGGGAGGCAGCAGUAGGGAAUAUUGGGCAAUGGGCGCAAGCCUGACCCAGCGACGCCGCGUGAGGGAUGAAGGUCUUCGGAUUGUAAACCUCUUUCAGUAGGGAAGAAGCGAAAGUGACGGUACCUAAAGAAGAAGCACCGGCUAACUAUGUGCCAGCAGCCGCGGUAAUACAUAGGGUGCAAGCGUUGUCCGGAAUUAUUGGGCGUAAAGAGCUCGUAGGUCGUUUGUCGCGUCGAUUGUGAAAAUCUGAGGCUCAACCUCAGACCUGCAGUCGAUACGGGCAAACUAGAGUGUGGUAGGGGAGACUGGAAUUCCUGGUGUAGCGGUGGAAUGCGCAGAUAUCAGGAGGAACACCAAUGGCGAAGGCAGGUCUCUGGGCCAUAACUGACACUGAGGAGCGAAAGUGCGGGGAGCGAACAGGAUUAGAUACCCUGGUAGUCCGCACCGUAAACGGUGGGCACUAGUUGUGGGAACCUUCCACGGUUUCCGCGACGCAGCAAACGCAUUAAGUGCCCCGCCUGGGGAGUACGAUCGCAAGAUUAAAACUCAAAGGAAUUGACGGGGCCCCGCACAAGCAGCGGAGCAUGCGGCUUAAUUCGACGCAACGCGAAGAACCUUACCAAGGCUUGACAUAUAGCGAAAAGUGGCAGAGAUGUCAUGUCCGCAAGGGCGCUAUACAGGUGGUGCAUGGUUGUCGUCAGCUCGUGUCGUGAGAUGUUGGGUUAAGUCCCGCAACGAGCGCAACCCUCGUUCUGUGUUACCAGCAUUUAGUUGGGGACUCACAGGAGACUGCCGGGGUCAACUCGGAGGAAGGUGGGGAUGACGUCAAAUCAUCAUGCCCCUUAUGUCUUGGGCUGCACGCAUGCUACAAUGGCCGGUACAAAGUGCUGCGAGAUCGUAAGAUUGAGCGAAUCACAUAAAGCCGGUCUCAGUUCGGAUUGAGGUCU
This 1203-nucleotide ribosomal RNA is filed under the name uncultured bacterium. RNAcentral describes it as "bacterial SSU rRNA". It matches the Rfam family "Bacterial small subunit ribosomal RNA", at positions 85 to 1306 of the family's 1533-position model. The record is from RNAcentral.